RNAcentral lists this long non-coding RNA (1556 nucleotides) under Canis lupus familiaris (dog). RNAcentral describes it as "lncRNA (ENSCAFG00030017233.1)". Lineage: Eukaryota; Metazoa; Chordata; Mammalia; Carnivora; Canidae. The record is from RNAcentral.
AUGUGCAGUAUCCAUAAAAUUGAACAGGUGUUAAACAGAACAUUAUUUUUAAAAUAUCCAUCCUACACAUUAGAAAGAAUAAGUGUAGUUCAUUGUAUGCUGAGUAAAGAAAUAGAGAAGCAAAGAGGUUUUGUUUAUCCCCAGGAAAGAAAGAUGGAAAAUGUUCCUAUAGAUGCAUCAACAAUUGCCCCCAUCUAGUGUGCACCUCAUCACCUUAACUCUCAAAGAUGACCUUGUCUCCUACUUCCUAUGUAUUAAAAAUUUAAUAAUCUUUAAAAUUAAUCUAUUCAUGAGAGACACAAAGGCAAAAACAUAGGCAGAGGGAGAAGCAGGCUCCCUGGGGGGAGCAUGAUGCGGGACUCGGUCCCAGGACCCUGGGAUCAUGACCUGAGCCGAAGACACACUCAGCCACUGAGCCACCCAGGCAUCCCCCAAGGAAUGAUUUUUUUUUAAAGAUUUUAUUUAUUUAUUCAUGAGAGGCACAGAGAGAGAGAGUGAGAGGCAGAGACACAGGCAGAGGGAGAAGCAGGUUCCAUGCAGGGAGCUUGACGUGGGACUCGAUCCUGGGUCUCCAGGAUCACACCCCAAGGAAUGAUCUUAUAUCAAAUCUUCCCAGUCUUCACCCUAAUCCAUUUGGAAUCAAAACACUCUCGGUGCUUUCCUCCCAAAUCUUCUCUACUCUUGGUUUGCAUGGAAUGAAUCCCCUCCUGUUCCUUUUACCUUUGACUACUUUCUCUUGCCAUUUGAGCCCGGAAUGUUGAUUUACCUCAGAUUUGCAUCCUGAAACUUCUUAUUUCUUACUUUUUGUGCGUUUAUACCCAGACUUAUGCAUGUAAACAUGACACAGGUUGCUAAAGUAAAAUUCUUCCGGUCUCAGUUUUUUACUGAGAUUACAGAUUUCAAGAGCAAACCAAGAGCUGCCAAGUACUGAAAUAGCUCCAAUUGAAGUGCUAGACUACCUAUUCUGGAUAUAUUAAAGAACGUGAAUUUUUUUUCCCUGUUCUUAGUGAUCACAUUUUUCCAGUGUCCAAGACAGUAAAGUUUGAGAUGUUGGAGAAUUUUCUUGAAGAUGGUUGAGGAAUCACCAUUGUGGUGUUAUGAGAUGGCUCUUUCUCUUCUUUUUACCUCAAACCCAAUGAGGUGUUUUUCCAUGUGCCCAGUAGACUGGGCAAUACAUUUAAGAACAUUAGAUACAAUAUUUCUUAAAGUAAUAUAGUAUCAAAAGUAAGAAAGUAUUAUAAAGGAAGGUAGUUGCUAUGUCUGGGAAUACCUGAAAUGUUUUUACUGUGUCAUAAGUACCCUUUUUGUUUAUAGGUCACUACAGAGGCUAAAAUAACUUGCCCCUCCCUCCUUUUUUUGGAGCAAGGUGUUUUUUUCUGGUGGUAUAUGAAAUGGUUGGUAUAAUUCAUUGAUUGGUAUAUAAAUGAACAGAUGUACGAUUUUCAGUAAUUCAUUGUUUCAGAUGUGCUAUUGAUUUUUUGUUUAGUUUCACAUGAUAGUGAAGUGAUUGAUUUUGUAUUUUCCUAUUUGUUGUUUCCUUUGAGUGAAGAUCUGUA